AUGAACGCUGGCGGCAGGCCUAAACAUGCAAGUCGAACGCUGUAGCAAUACAGAGUGGCGCACGGGUGAGUAACAUGUGGGAAUAUGCCUUUUGGUACGGAACAACGUUUGGAAACGAACGCUAAUACCGUAUGGUCCCUUCGGGGUAAAGAUUUAUCGCCAAAAGAUUAGCCCGCACUGGAUUAGCUAGUUGGUAAGGUAAUGGCUUACCAAGGCGACGAUCCAUAGCUGGUCUGAGAGGACGAUCAGCCACACUGGGACUGAGACACGGCCCAGACUCCUACGGGAGGCAGCAGUUAGGAAUAUUGGACAAUGGGCGCAAGCCUGAUCCAGCCAUGCCGCGUGAGUGAUGAAGGCCUUCGGGUUGUAAAACUCUUUAGCCGAUGAAUAUAAUGACUGUAGUCGGAAAAUAAGCCCCGGCUAACUUCGUGCCAGCCGCCGCGGUAAUU
Molecule: ribosomal RNA, 449 nt
Filed under: uncultured bacterium
Lineage: Bacteria
Description: bacterial SSU rRNA
Rfam family: Bacterial small subunit ribosomal RNA
Source: RNAcentral